AGGUUAAGUUAUUAAGGGCGCAUGGUGGAUGCCUUGGCACUAGGAGCCGAUGAAGGACGGGACUAACACCGAUAUGCUUCGGGGAGCUGUAAGUAAGCUUUGAUCCGGAGAUUUCCGAAUGGGGGAACCCAACUUGUUAUGCAAGUUAUCACCUAAUGAAUAUAUAGUUAGGUUGAAGGUAGACGUUGUGAACUGAAACAUCUCAUUAGCAACAGGAAUAGAAAGAAAAAUCGAUACCGUCAGUAGCGGCGAGCGAAAUCGGUAGAGCCCAAACCAAAGUGCUUGCACUUUGGGGUUGUAGGACUGACAUUGUGGAGUUACAAAGUUAACAUUUAGCAGAAUCAGCUGGGAAGCUGAGCGAGACAGGGUGAUAGCCCCGUAUGCGAAAAGUGUUGACCUCCCGUCAGGAUCCUGAGUACGGCCGGACACGUGAAAUCCGGUCGGAAUCCGCGAGGACCAUCUCGCAAGG
RNAcentral lists this ribosomal RNA (469 nucleotides) under Weissella confusa. Its description in RNAcentral is "partial 23S ribosomal RNA". It matches the Rfam family "Bacterial large subunit ribosomal RNA", at positions 1 to 465 of the family's 2925-position model. Lineage: Bacteria; Bacillati; Bacillota; Bacilli; Lactobacillales; Lactobacillaceae. The record is from RNAcentral.